Molecule: long non-coding RNA, 708 nt
Organism: Onychostruthus taczanowskii (white-rumped snowfinch)
Lineage: Eukaryota; Metazoa; Chordata; Aves; Passeriformes; Passeridae
Exons: 3
Source: RefSeq, a predicted model, not a curated record
AUCCCUAAAAUUUGGGAUUUACCCGGAGGGAAAAAAAAAAAUCCCCCAAAUUUGUCCCAAAUUUGAGGGGUGGGGGAGGGGGCGGAGCCCUUCUGGGCAGGGACAGGUGACAACGGCAGGUGCCACCUCAGGUGUGUCACCUGCUCUGGGGGAGGUGACCGAGGUCACGUGAUGCCACCAGGUGCCACCAGCACCUCGGUGCCACCUCCUGUCCUGUGCUGGCGCUGUGUCCAGGUGUGCCCAGGUGUGUCCAGGUGUGCCCAGGUGUGCCCAGGUGCCACCAGGUGUGACCCCGGCCUGGGGGAGGUGACAGAGGCCACCACAGGUGCCACCAGGUGUCACCAACUCAAGGAGAAACAAACAACAUCACCUCCUGUCCUGUGCUGGCGCUGUCCCCAGGUGUGCCCAGGUGCCACCAGGUGUGCCCAGGUGCCACCUCAGAUGUGCCACACCUGGUCCCUGGGCAGGGGAGGUGACAAGUGCCACCACAGGUGCCACCAACACACGGAGAAACAAGUGACACCACCACCUGUCCUGUCCUGGAGGUGUCCACAGGUGUCCCCAGGUGUGCCCAGGUGCCACCAGCUGUGCCCAGGUGUCACCCAGGUGCCACCAGGUGCCACCAACACACAGAGAAACAAGUGACACCACCACCUGUCCUGUCCUGGAGCUGUCCACAGGUGUCCCCAGGUGUGCCCAGGUGCCACC